CGUUCAGAAUGCAUCACCAGAAGACCUUUCCUAGUCUGAUGAGUCUGGCUUCCAGCUGUCAGGUUGAUAGUGCAGUACUGCGUCGAGCCACCAGGGGGAGGUGUUUCCUAAUCCUCACGCCUGCUGCAUCCUGUCUGAGGCUUGGAUGAUGAAACGAGUUAGGAAGCAGAUUUAAAUUCACCGACUAACCGUGAAAGUUUCAUAAAGAGUUUUAGUUUGAAUUCAUCUGAACGGCAGAAGAACACCUGCAGCUGGCCAACAGCGUCCUGCGGCCCGCAGGUCCAAUGUCCCAGCAGCUCUGCAGCUUGCCGUCCUUCAGGUGUCCAGCCGAAGCAACCUCUGGCUCACUCACACAGCAGCAACAACCCCGGUUUAGCACGGGUCGGAUCCUAGAUCAGGCUCUGAUGACGGUUAACCUCCAACUUCAGCUCUGAGUCAGGAAGAAGGAAGAUGAGGCGGAUGCAGCAGACUGAGAUCAUCACAGCUCCUGAUGAUGAUGAUGCAGCUUCAUAUCUGAGCUCCUCCGGUCGGAUCCCAAAGCAUUCCCAGAUCAGCCUCCAGCUUGUCCUGGAUUAGCUCGGUUGUCUCCUUCUGGGGUGGUUUUCCUGAAACGUGUCCCCUGGGAGGAAUCCAGGAGACCUCAUCCUACAUGAGGAGGAGCUCCUCGAGUUCCCAGCCUCUGCUGAGGAGUUUCGUUCUCCUGGUUCAUCAUCGAGUCUUCCGGCCUUCACCCGGAGUUCCUGAGCACAGGUGAGGCUCGUCGAUCAUCUGCUUCACAACAUUGUGUGUGUGUGCGUGUUUG
Molecule: non-coding RNA, 802 nt
Organism: Nothobranchius furzeri (turquoise killifish)
Lineage: Eukaryota; Metazoa; Chordata; Actinopteri; Cyprinodontiformes; Nothobranchiidae
Source: RefSeq, a predicted model, not a curated record